CCGCGUCACAACGCAACACAACACAGCACAGCGCAACACAACGCAGAGCAGCGCCAAGCGGGCCGGCCCGGCCCCAGCCCCGGGCAGGCGGCGUGGAAAUGAGAUGCACAUUUACCCUUGACGCAGGGCAGGCCCGGCAGCGGCUCCCAGGGAGCCAGAGCCCAGGCCGAGGGGGCCCCACCUCUGCACCGGACCCGGUACAGCAGCCCGGGCCAGGCCUGCACGAGCCCGCCGAGGACGGGCAGAUGGAAUAAGCCCUGCGAGCAGCCUGGGAGCAGCCUGGGAGAGGUUCAGCCCCGUGACCAGACACGGCCUUGGAAAUGAUCCUGGGUGUCGCCCGCCCUCGCCAGCGUGUCAGCACGGCUCCCUGCCUCCGGGCCCGUCUCUCGGGGCUACUCAGGACACCGCAGCGGCCGGGCCCUGCCCUACCCAGCCUGGGCUGUGCGGGAGCCUCUGCCCGACACCGCAGCAGAGCGGGCACCGGGCAAGCGGAACAAGCCCCGGCCCCUGCACCGGGACGGGCGGAGGGGGAGGCCGGGCCGGACUGGGCCUGCUGGGUGCGGCAAGCCACGCGGCCGUGCAGAGCCUUCCCUUCCAAUAAACCGGUGUGAUUCACUCCAAA
Long non-coding RNA from Alligator sinensis (Chinese alligator), 622 nucleotides. RefSeq lists it as uncharacterized. NCBI's taxonomy places the organism in Eukaryota, Metazoa, Chordata, Crocodylia, Alligatoridae. The record is from RefSeq and is a predicted model, not a curated record. The transcript is spliced from 2 exons.